CAACACGUUAGAAUCCUCCAUUUUGUCCCUCCUAUUGGCAAUGCACAAGUGUGGCUUGGAAUGAAGGGACUGUGUGGUUGCCAGGGUGACCCCAAGGACCAGUUAUUGCACAUAUGGUUCUGCAAAUGGAAGUUCCUGAGUCGGACCAAUGGCAGGAAAGAAGAUUUGCGAACUCGCCCAGGGCAAAGCUGGUGUAAAGUUUUAGAUAAAUGUUCAGAAUUAACCACCUCCUGUUACUCCUAAGAGCCGAAACAGAAAAUGACCGUCUGUUGGUUACAGAUCUGAGGAUAAGCCCCGCCAAGGACGCCGGAUGUGUGCUCACGGACUGUCUGGGCCCGCUGCAUCGAAGGCUUCCCCACCUGGGAUUCCCUCUCAGUAAUCUACAUGUUCUCAAGACAUGGGGAGGAGAAGAAAAGCAACCUUAUCAUUCAGGGAUUACGACCUUCCUUGGCUCCAACGAUUCAACUUUAAAUAUUUACUUGGCAGCUGAUUCAAAUUCAAAUAAACUUGCAGUUAUUGGGUGAAAUAAAGUGUGCCC
RNAcentral lists this long non-coding RNA (538 nucleotides) under Equus caballus (horse). RNAcentral's name for it is "lncRNA (ENSECAG00000053294.1)". The record is from RNAcentral. Lineage: Eukaryota; Metazoa; Chordata; Mammalia; Perissodactyla; Equidae.